This 619-nucleotide ribosomal RNA is filed under the name Gnathopogon elongatus. Its description in RNAcentral is "partial 16S ribosomal RNA". It matches the Rfam family "Bacterial large subunit ribosomal RNA", at positions 1797 to 2619 of the family's 2925-position model. Lineage: Eukaryota; Metazoa; Chordata; Actinopteri; Cypriniformes; Gobionidae. The record is from RNAcentral.
CGCCUCUUUAUCAAAAACAUCGCCUCCUGCAAAAGAACUAAGUAUAGGAGGUCCAGCCUGCCCAGUGACUACGGGUUCAACGGCCGCGGUAUUUUGACCGUGCAAAGGUAGCGCAAUCACUUGUCUUUUAAAUAGAGACCUGUAUGAAUGGCUAAACGAGGGCUUAACUGUCUCCCCCUUCAAGUCAGUGAAAUUGAUCUAUCCGUGCAGAAGCGGAUAUGAAUAUACAAGACGAGAAGACCCUUUGGAGCUUAAGGUACAAAAUUCAACCACGUUAAACAACUAAAUAAAAAGCAAGAACUUAGUGGGCCAUGAAGUUUUACCUUCGGUUGGGGCGACCGCGGAGGAAAAAUCAGCCUCCGAGUGGAAUGGGCUAAACCCCUAAAACCAAGAGAAACAUCUCUAAGCCGCAGAACAUCUGACCAUUAAUGAUCCGGCCCAACAGCCGAUCAACGAACCAAGUUACCCUAGGGAUAACAGCGCAAUCCUCUCCCAGAGUCCAUAUCGACGAGGGGGUUUACGACCUCGAUGUUGGAUCAGGACAUCCUAAUGGUGCAGCCGCUAUUAAGGGUUCGUUUGUUCAACGAUUAAAGUCCUACGUGAUCUGAGUUCAGACCGG